UGUUGUUAAGAUGUCAGCUUCCUCCAAAGAGAUGAAGCAAUUAAAUGCAGUCCUUAUCAAAAUCCCAAUGACAUUUUGUGCUGAAAGACACCCAUCCUAAAAUUCAUAUGGAAUCUCAAGUAUGCCCAGAUGUCUAAAAUAGUCUUGAAAGGAAGUACUAAGUUGGAGGACUCUGUUUUUACUGAUGUAAAACUUGCUGCAAACCUACAGUAUCAAAACAGCAUUGUAAUGGCAUAAAGACAGACACAUAGAGCAUCGGAACAGAAUAGAGAGCCCAGAAAUAAGGUGGCCAAGGUUGUUCAACGUGGAAAAGACAGUCUUUUCAACCAGUGGUUCCUGAAAAAGUGGAUAUUUUCAUGCAAAAUCUAAACUUGGAUUCUGACCUCACGCCAGAUAUAAAACUUAAUUCUCAAUGGAUCAAGACCCAAAUGUAAGAACUGAAACACUUUGAGGAAAACAUGGGACAAACGUUUCACAAUAGGACUUGGCAAUGAUUUCAUGGAUAUGACACUCAAGGCAUGGGCAAUAAAAAACAGAGUACACACACCAAAAUUCAUGAAUAUUAAAAUCUUUUCUGCCUCUGAAGACAACAUCAACAGAGUAAAAACACAACCCAUGCAGCAUGGGAGCCCAUAUUUGCAAAUGAUCUAUCUGACAAGGGCUGAAUCUCCAGAAUAGACAUAGAACUUCUCAACUCAACAACAAAAAAACAAACAACCCAAAUCAAAAAUGAGCAAAGUACUUGAAUAGACUUUUCCUCCAAGAAGAUACGCAAAUGGUCAACAAGCAUCUAAAAAGAUGCUUAAUGUGGCUAAUCACUGGGGAAAUGUAAGUCAAAAUCUCAAUGAGACAUCACCUCACAUCCAUGUGACGGCACCCCCAAAAAACAGACAGUGAAGAAAGGCAUGCUGGCAAAGAUGUGGAGAUAUUGGACCCACGUACACUGUGGCUGGAAUGUAAAAUGGUAUAGCUGCUGUGGAAAUCAGCAUGGCAUUUCAUUAAAACAAUUAAAAAUAGAAUCACUAAAUGACCCAACAAUUCUACUAUAGGAUAUAUACACCUCAGAGCUGAAAAGUUGGUCUCAAAGACAUAUUUGAACACCCAUGUUCACGGCAUCAUUGUUCAUGAUCGCUGAAAUGUGGAACAACCCAAGGAUCCAUCCAGGGAUGAAUGGAGAAGCAACAUGGGCAUAUAUAUAUAUACAAUUGCAUGUUAUUCAUCCUUAAAAACUAAGGAUAUUCUGAGAUAUGAGACAACAUGGAUGAACCUUUAGGAAAUUAUGCUAACUGAAAUCAACCAGUCCCAAAAAUACUGGCCUUGUGUGACUCCACUUAUAUGGCAUUCCUGAAAUGGUCAGAUUCAGAGAGACGGACAGCGGAUGCUGUUGGCCAGGGGUGGGAGCAGGGGAAGGGGAGUGACCGAUGAGUGGGGACAGAGCUUCAGUUCUGUGGGGUGACAAGAGUUCUGAAGAUGGAUUGUGGUGAUGGCUGCACCACCAUAUGAUGUGGUCAACACACUGAAGAUGCGCGUAAGGAAGUUAAUGUGCUUAAUGACGUGUACACAGAAAAAUGGUCAAGAUGGGACCCCAGGAAAGAGCAGACACCAGGGAAGUGACAAGAGGCUGAGGAGAAGGCAGUUGGAGGCAGCUCUGCCAUGAACAGUAGCAUCCGUCCUCCUGGCUACAUGCCGAGAAGGCCCGAGAUGGACAGAAGAAUCCCUGAGGUUUCUAGGUGUGUCCCUGUUCCAAGGGCAUCCCUGGCCCAGCCUGGAGGGCACAGGACUGGGGAGCUGGAGUCCACUUCUGUGGGCACCUGCUACUCUGAUGAGCCGUUCUCCUCUUGUGUAGACAUUGGGUAGAGGAGAGAAGACCUUGGUGUCCUCCUGUGUCAAGUGGAGUGCGUCCAGCGGGUGACUCCCUGGGUUCCGUAUGAUGCUCAGGAUGGGUCUGUGGCCCUUGGUUCUCCAUCGAUGACGCCCUGUACUCUGAGCACCUGAGAAAAUGCUUUCCCACCUGCUGGAGAUCCUUUAGAACUGAGAGAGGCUUGGGGGUUCGGGUGAAUGAGAACUUGGGAUAAGGAAGAACAUGCCAGAGCACUGUGAACUAAGGCCAGAGUCCAGGGACAAGACCAGUCCUUGUUGGACUCCCGAGGUCCUCACUUGGCUGGAGAGGAGAAUCAUUGCCUUGGUUGAGGUCAGGAUGCCUCCUGAGAAAAAAGGACACCCAAGUGGAGGGACAGAAAGAUGAG
Molecule: non-coding RNA, 2246 nt
Organism: Equus caballus (horse)
Lineage: Eukaryota; Metazoa; Chordata; Mammalia; Perissodactyla; Equidae
Source: RefSeq, a predicted model, not a curated record